RNAcentral lists this ribosomal RNA (1126 nucleotides) under Enterococcus faecium. RNAcentral describes it as "partial 23S ribosomal RNA". It matches the Rfam family "Bacterial large subunit ribosomal RNA", at positions 1 to 1128 of the family's 2925-position model. The record is from RNAcentral. Lineage: Bacteria; Bacillati; Bacillota; Bacilli; Lactobacillales; Enterococcaceae.
GGUUAAGUGAAUAAGGGCGCACGGUGGAUGCCUUGGCACUAGGAGCCGAUGAAGGACGGGACUAACACCGAUAUGCUUUGGGGAGCUGUACGUAAGCUAUGAUCCAGAGAUUUCCGAAUGGGGGAACCCAGCAUCUUUAAUAGGAUGUUACGAUUGUGUGAAUACAUAGCACAUUCGAGGUAGACGCAGAGAACUGAAACAUCUAAGUACCUGCAGGAAGAGAAAGAAAAUUCGAUUCCCUGAGUAGCGGCGAGCGAAACGGGAAAAGCCCAAACCAGCAAGCUUGCUUGUUGGGGUUGUAGGACUCCAAUAUGGUAGUUCUUUCAGAUAGUCGAAUGACUUGGAAAAGUCAGUCAAAGAGGGUAAAAACCCCGUAGACGAAAUGUGGAAGACACCUAGGAGGAUCCUGAGUACGGCGGAACACGAGAAAUUCCGUCGGAAUCCGGGAGGACCAUCUCCCAAGGCUAAAUACUCCCUAGUGACCGAUAGUGAACCAGUACCGUGAGGGAAAGGUGAAAAGCACCCCGGAAGGGGAGUGAAAUAGAACCUGAAACCGUGUGCCUACAACAAGUCAAAGCCCGUUAAUGGGUGAUGGCGUGCCUUUUGUAGAAUGAACCGGCGAGUUACGAUUGCAUGCGAGGUUAAGUUGAAGAGACGGAGCCGCAGCGAAAGCGAGUCUGAAUAGGGCGUUUGAGUAUGUAGUCGUAGACCCGAAACCAUGUGAUCUACCCAUGUCCAGGUUGAAGGUGCGGUAAAACGCACUGGAGGACCGAACCCACGUACGUUGAAAAGUGCGGGGAUGAGGUGUGGGUAGCGGAGAAAUUCCAAACGAACUUGGAGAUAGCUGGUUCUCUCCGAAAUAGCUUUAGGGCUAGCCUCGGAAUUGAGAAUGAUGGAGGUAGAGCACUGUUUGGACUAGGGGCCCAUCUCGGGUUACCGAAUUCAGAUAAACUCCGAAUGCCAUUCAUUCAUAUCCGGGAGUCAGACUGUGAGUGAUAAGAUCCAUAGUCGAAAGGGAAACAGCCCAGACCACCAGCUAAGGUCCCAAAAUAUAUGUUAAGUGGAAAAGGAUGUGGGGUUGCACAGACAACUAGGAUGUUGGCUUAGAAGCAGCCACCAUUUAAAG